This 490-nucleotide ribosomal RNA is filed under the name uncultured bacterium. RNAcentral's name for it is "partial 16S ribosomal RNA". It matches the Rfam family "Bacterial small subunit ribosomal RNA", at positions 30 to 507 of the family's 1533-position model. The record is from RNAcentral.
AUUGAACGCUGGCGGCAGGCCUAACACAUGCAAGUCGAACGGUAACAGGAAGAAGCUUGCUUCUUUGCUGACGAGUGGCGGACGGGUGAGUAAUGUCUGGGAAACUGCCUGAUGGAGGGGGAUAACUACUGGAAACGGUAGCUAAUACCGCAUAACGUCGCAAGACCAAAGAGGGGGACCUUCGGGCCUCUUGCCAUCGGAUGUGCCCAGAUGGGAUUCGCUAGUAGGUGGGGUAACGGCUCACCUAGGCGACGAUCCCUAGCUGGUCUGAGAGGAUGAUCAGCCACACUAGAACUGAGACACGGUCCAGACUCCUACGGGAGGCAGCAGUGGGGAAUAUUGCACAAUGGGCGCAAGCCUGAUGCAGCCAUGCCGCGUGUAUGAAGAAGGCCUUCGGGUUGUAAAGUACUUUCAGCGGGGAGGAAGGGAGUAAAGUUAAUACCUUUGCUCAUUGACGUUACCCGCAGAAGAAGCACCGGCUAACUCCGUG